UGUAAUUUUCAUCAUCCUGGUCUUAUAAUGAAGGUUACAAGGGAAUCAUGAGAACCCCCAUCAACCUUAUUUUCCCUUAUUUUCCCGCCACUAGCAGUAGCCAUUGCUGCCAUUUUUCUCUCCUUCAUUUCCUCUCUCAUUUCUCCAUCUUCUCCCAAAAUUUCCAUUACCCACCUAAAUACAUUUCCACCAACGAUCUCUCAAUUUUCAAAAUAGGGUUUCAUGGGUUUUUGUGUGAGAAAAUGAAGAUUGAAGGAGAAAGGUUUAAUAAGGUAAGAAAAGGCUUCCUACACCUUUAGUUUGAUUUUUGUUAUGGGUUGCUUUGAGAAAGCAUGGAAAUAUUAUAUGUUAAUAUUUUGAUUAUUUUUUAUGUACGGAAAAUGUUGAAUGAUGAGAAUGAGGUUUCCAAGCUUGAUUAAUGAUGGAUUGGAGCUUAUGGAGACAUACUUAAGUGUUGUAGAGCGUCCAUUAAGAGAAAGAGAAGAAAAGUGAGCAACAAGUUGAAGAUAAAAAGCAAAGAAGUGACAAAAGAGUGAAGGAAGAAUGAAGAAACCCAUCCAAGAAUUAAAUAGCAAGUACUUCAAAAUUUUACUUUACCUAAUUAAAAUCUAAAUGAAAAUUUGUUUAUUUAGUUUGUAACAUUUAUGGGAUUUAUUGAUAUAAGAAAAUAUUUGUGUA
Long non-coding RNA from Gossypium raimondii (Peruvian cotton), 678 nucleotides. RefSeq lists it as uncharacterized. The transcript has 2 exons. The record is from RefSeq and is a predicted model, not a curated record. Lineage: Eukaryota; Viridiplantae; Streptophyta; Magnoliopsida; Malvales; Malvaceae.